GGUUGAAACAGACAAAUGAGCGAGUGUCCAAGUUGGCAAAUCCUGCUCGAACAGAGGGAGAGAGGGAGGGGGGAGGGGAGUGGAGGGACAGAGAGGGAGGGGGGAGGGAGAGAAGGCGGGCACUGCAUCGGCUCCAUCCCACCUCGGAAAUACCAACCAGGUGCUGCAGCGUCUUCCUCGCUUGUUUCGCUCCGGAUCCUCCUCAGCUCCAUCGUCCUCCCCGCUGCUCAGAGACGGGACGACGCGGCAGCAAACGGAUCGCAUCCGAUCUGCUGCGGGUCCAGUCGGUGGGCCACUUUCCGCAUCGCAUGGCUCCCGUCCGUCCGGCCGGACAAUAGCAGCUCCCGACUUCCGGCCCAGUGUCCUGCAGGUCUCCAGAUGGCAGGACACGAGUGGGAGGACUGGUUCGAGCGGGAGGAGCUCAUCGGGCAGAUCAGCGACAUCCGAGUGCAGAACCUGCAAGUUGAACGGGAGCUUGUUCAGAAGAGGACCUUCACCAGAUGGAUCAACCUUCACUUGGAAAAGUGUAACCCACCCAUCGAGGUCCACGACCUGUUCAGGGACAUCCAGGAUGGACGCAUCCUCAUGGCUUUGCUGGAGGAGCUCUCUGGCUGCAAACUGCUUCAUGGGUUCAAGAAGUCUUCCCAUCGGAUUUUCAGACUCAACAACAUAGCCAAGGUCUUGUCCUUCCUCGAGGAGAGAAACGUAAAGCUGAUAAGCAUCGAUGCGGUUGAUGUUGCCGAUGGCAACGCAUCCAUCAUCCUGGGUCUCAUCUGGAACAUCAUCCUCUUCUUCCAGAUUAAGGAGCUCACAGGGAACAUCCGCAGCCAGUUCACCUCCUCCUCCAGCCUGUCGUCCAUUCCCACCAGCGCUGACACUGACACGUCCCACUGCAGCAGCCCCUCAGACGACCGACAGCCGCCGUCCACGGCCAUGCGAGAGCAUGGCAAGGCCAUCAAGACGCUGCUGCAGUGGGUCCAGAAGCGAACGCGCAAGUAUGGCGUGGCCGUUCAGGACUUUGGAAAGAGCUGGACAAGCGGCCUGGCCUUCCUGGCUGUCAUUAAGUCCAUUGAUCCCAGCCUGGUAGACAUGAGGAAGGCCCUGCUGAGGAGUCCAAGGGAGAAUAUGGAGGAUGCCUUCAGGAUAGCCCAUUACAGCCUGGGUAUCCCUCGUCUGCUGGAGCCCGAGGAUGUGACCAACCACGCACCAGAUGAGCAGUGCAUUAUGACCUAUGUGUCCCAGUUCUUGGAGCACUUCCCAGGCCUGGAGGAGCAGGAGGAGCCUUCCCUUCUCACGAAACGCGCUGUCUCUAUGGGCCGACUCAACUUCCGCGACAGUGACUACCGUAUGAGGAAUGGUGCUGAUCGGAGAAGAGUGCGGGAGAGGUCCUACAUGUUCCAAAAGGACUGUGCCCAACCCCCACCCAAAAUCUUGAUUUCUUCCGUGUCAGAGGACAGGACCUCCAUGACACCUCGAUGGAGGCCAGCAGCAGCUCGAUCAUGGUCCAGUGAGGAUGUCUUAGCAGAUUCCCCCCACAUGGAAGACAUCUCUAGGAGUGGGACUGAAGACCCCAAGAAAUCAGUCAGUGAGGUCUUAAGCAAUUCAGCGAUUAACCCCUCACAACUGUGUCAUACUCCGUCACCCAGCAGCUCCACUGUGCCCGAGUCAGUUGCUGGUGACUCAGCCAUCAACUCGCCGGAUUCUUGGGUGGAAAGUGAGUUUGGAACAAUGUCUGAAAAAAUUGGCGAGAGCGCAAGUGACAGUUCACUGUGUGACAGUGGAGCAGCCUGGGACGUGUACCGCGCCACUCCAGUGGAGGUGACCAAUUCUGAUGAAGGCUUCGUCCCAUCAGGGGAGGACAAAACCCCUGACGAGCAGUCCAUUACCGAGUCGUAUACUGAUGAAGGAAUUUACUCAUUGAGCUCCUUGGAGAGCACUCAGGAACAGAACCAAGGGCGCUCGGAUAAAAAGAUGCAAGAUGAACACUACAACCAGUACAAAACAGUAGAACAGGAACCUGAGAUUCCUAGAGAAGUAGACUUAGACUUAGUAGCACACUAUAAACCAGUGUGUCCAAGUGGACAACCAGAUGAAGGACCUAAGGAGGAACCGUGUGCUGCACAGAUACUUACCAGCUCGUAUGCUGAUGAUCUGCUUAAACCUGAUGAAACAAACCAGUCCCACCUCAGUCCCACAAAUGAACCAGCACCUCUAAAGCUUUUUGAGGAAGUAACGCAGCCAAGACUUGGGAACCCAGACAGGGAACCGGCAUGCUUGAAGAAUCUGGUAACACUCACAGAGGUUGGACAGGACACCGUAGAACAGAAUAAUGAUCAGAUUGAAAGUCUGCUAAAGACAAACAACUCAGAGGAUGAUGAAGUGGAAAAUCAAACAGAUCUUAUUUUAGAGGAACCAAGAGAUUGGUCAGAAAUUUUAAAUGACCCAAAAGAGAAGCUUGAGGACAUACCAGAAACAACAAGUGAAGCCAUUUUCUGUAAUUGCACAGAGACUAGUAAAGCUUUAGCAAACACGUGUCCAUCCACCCAAGAAGUAGCAACAAACCCACGGCUGGAGCAAGGCCUGGAAACCAGAGUUCCUCAAAUCUCCAUCUCCAGUGAACCGGAAGAGCAGAUCAAAAUGGAAACAUGUGACCUAGAAAGACAAGCUGAUGAAAAGGUAGCUAGAAGUGAAACGACAGACACAGCUGCCAGCAGCUGCACAAAGUCAGAAGAAAUGACCGGUGAUGAAAAAGCUCUCAUUGACAUUAAUUUCUGCAUGAUACCAGAAAGUCUUCAAACAACACAAAAUGAGGAUGUAGAACAUAGUGAUGAAGUUGAUGAUGGAAAUUGUUCCACUGUAGACACUAGUGUUCCAGCAGAUAAGAGGGACAUAAGUGAGGAUCAACAGCAAUGUGAGCUUGUUCACAACACUGAUGAUACUGACAAAGAUGUCACUGCUCAGACUGAAGCUGAUGAGACGAUCACUGGCGACACCUUUUGUCUAAAUGAUGGAGAAAACACUCAGCAGAGCAAGGAUUCAUUCACCUCAGACUCCGACGGAACCACCGGGACAUUGUGUUAUGAGGCAGUUAGUGUCUCCAGAAACAUGGACUUGUUUUAUGCAGAUCGAAGUUCUCCCACAGAAGAUAUCGAUGGUGAACCGGUUGAACCAAUGGAUCUGUUCUACCCUGACAAAGAAGAACUCGUUUCCACAGAGCCAUUCGACACCGACAUGCAGAGUUGGCCUUCUGUUUUGAGUGUGUCUGCUCUUGAGCCUGCACCAGCUGCAGCUGCUCUAGAUGAGCAGCCACUGCUCGUUGAAGACCUUUGGAACCAAGAACAUGACAAGUCCUAGAUACUCAGAGAUGGAUCGUCCAUCACUCUCACUGAGCCCCCUAAGGUUGUUUAUGGGACGGCAGCCUGUGUGGAUCACAUCCUUCCUGAGUCAGUGUCUGGAUGCUGAGGGGCUGUCAUGGUUCACAUGCAUGUGUAGUAUUGUCCGGAGGUUGGAUUGUACAACCAGGUGGAGGUCCCUCUUUUUGAGGAGGGGAGAAACAGAGAUCCAGCUUUUGGUGGAUCGCACUUCUCAGCCUUUCUCUGGGUUAGAGGUUAAGGAAAGACAAUAGCUCCCUGGUUGUGGAACACUGGACGAGCUCAACAGCCAAGGUUUCUGGUGGGUCUGGGUCAGGGACCUCAGGGCUGCAUUACUGCUUUUUGCAGAUGAUGUUGUCCUGUUAGCUUCUGCAGAGCAUACGGUUUGUAGGAUGGUUCUGCCAAUUUGGUUUGCAGCCAAGUGUGAAGCAAAGUCUUCAUGUCUGAAGCUGCUGGUAGUUUAACAGAUUUACCCUUUGAGCUACAUUCCCAAAACUGUGUUUCCUCUACGGAGUGGUGGGGUGCUGGGGAGCUCUGUCACUGAAGGUCUCUGAGUAGAGCGACUCAUCAUCCCCAUCCAGAGGAGCCAGUUGAGGUGGCUUGAGCGCUUGUGUUGGGUGCCUGGACAUUUUCAUCGGGACAUGGUCCAGGUGUGUCUCACUGGAUGGAUGAUCCAGGACACGUCAGAGGGAUUAUGUCUCUCUGCUUCCCGAGACGUGGGCUGAAAGGCUAAAGGAAUAGGGUUGUUGUGCUGAACUGCUGCCUUCCUGGUCCAACCCGUUUACUGUAGGUAGAGGUGAGAUGAAUGGGUGGUUUCAGGACAUUCCAACAAUUUCCAUUUUAGCAGCAUUGUUAAAUUAAAUGUAGUCAAAUCAGUGGUUUAGAAUUGAGUAAGUUGCUAUUAAAUGAUCCAAUUAGAUGUACACACAGUACACUGUAUCACAUGAUACUAGGUUUUAUUUAGUAAAGAAACACAAACCAAACGCUUCAUGAGCAGGUACAGCAGCCAGAGAUUCACCCAGGUUCAGCCUCGUCUUCUGUAUGAAGCCUUCUUGAUAAUGAAUAAUACAUCACCGCUGGUUAGAUGCAGUGUGUGAGGAGGGAAGCGUAGAGCUUCUCUGUGACUGCAGCAGUUACUUCAAUAACUGGCCACCAUCAUCAUUCAACAGCGAUGUAGCGGUGUUCAGUUCAUCUGAGUGAUGCAAUGCUGUGAUGUUAUUGUGUGUCAACUACUGUAAGUGAUUGUGAAUGAUGAUGAAGAACACGUAGAACCUGGAUCUGUUAGGCUCCAACCCACAAAAGUCAACAAUCUCACAGUUGAUGAUAUCUGUUCCACAUGGAGGCUGAACACGAAGCUUGGAUUCAGGGACCCUUUCAUUCAGGGUGGUAAUAAACAAGCCUGACUCCUGUGCUGCAUCCAUGCAUUUUUGCUGAGGUUUAUAAAAUGAUCCCUUUACUGCAUGAUUUCCCGCCUGAAAAACACUGAAUCAAUGCAAAUGUGUAUGACACAUAUUUAAUGUAUGCUGUAAAGCUGACAAAAUGCUCUGAUUUCCACAUCAGACUAAUGCAAAACUGCACGUUUAGUUAGUUUAGAUAACAUUAGCUAGUCAACUUCAGAGUCUGACGUCACCGUCUGCAGGAAACACAAUUUGUCGAACUGCAUCAAAGAAUCACUUCAUGUGUGUGUUGACUCAAACAGCAGCGUGAGGCGAUGUGACAUUGCUCAGUCAAGAGUCAGACUUGCAUCCGGCCUUCAUCAGGAAGCUGUAGGGAAGCUUACUGUAUGUUUGUUCCUUUCUUCUGCUAUUUGCAAGAUUAAAAUGACAUAAAAUCGCAUAUUUUGCAUACGAACCACAAAUCAGACUGGCUUGUAUUCAAAGGACUUAAUGCGCCGGCCUUUUGGAAGACUUGAUGCAAAUGUGCUCAGGAUCUUACAGCAAAGCUCUGCCAGUCGCUGCGAUUCCUUCUCUGCUCGUGCCUCCAGGUGAGCAGCGAGGAGCCGGAGCGUUGGUCCGGACAGAGGAUGGGAGGACGGUCUGAUGUCUGUGAUGUCGCUGAGGCUGCACCACAGAGCCUGGGCUGCAGCAGUGCAGCCUCGGAGCCUGUGAGGCCAGAUGGAAGUGCAGUCCCUCC
RNA transcript from Betta splendens (Siamese fighting fish), 5504 nucleotides. It is a transcript of the gene named calmin a, with no coding region annotated. The record is from RefSeq and is a predicted model, not a curated record. The transcript is spliced from 11 exons. Lineage: Eukaryota; Metazoa; Chordata; Actinopteri; Anabantiformes; Osphronemidae.